RNAcentral lists this transfer RNA (74 nucleotides) under Streptococcus agalactiae. RNAcentral's name for it is "tRNA-Met". It matches the Rfam family "tRNA". From Rfam's summary of the family: Transfer RNA (tRNA) molecules are approximately 80 nucleotides in length. RNAcentral also lists the same sequence under 2 other names. The record is from RNAcentral. Lineage: Bacteria; Bacillati; Bacillota; Bacilli; Lactobacillales; Streptococcaceae.
CGCGGGAUGGAGCAGCUAGGUAGCUCGUCGGGCUCAUAACCCGAAGGUCGCAGGUUCAAAUCCUGCUCCCGCAA